ACAAGGAGAGAAGUAUGACUUCCUCUUCCUCUUUUUGGGUGGAACCGCUAGGCCUCUCCAGUUGUCAACAGCGUCUUCAUAUGUUGGAUUAGUGUUUGUGACAGCGUCAGACUUCCCAGAACAGGAAGCAUCCAUUUCUGCUUUUCCGUCUACACUGCAAGUUGUGGUGGGUAGUGGACUGGCUCCUGUGAUGAUCACUGUUGCGACAGCUGCAUUUUCUUCACCUUUUUGCUUUGCAGAAAAAAUUCUCGUAUUGCCCUCAAUGAAGGACAGAUGUCGAGCAAUGAAUUGAUCCACCCGAAUAGGCAAGUUUUCAUGCUUGAAGAGCCCACAUUUGAUGUUUUUGAACUCUGCUUCAACAUUGGCUGAACUUGCGCUGAUGUUGGUGUUUCGGAAGUGAGGGAUCAUUACCCCUGUCCAAAGUGGUCUGUCUGUGUUUGGUCAAAUGGAUCCACUUUUUCCAAGUCCUUACCCUCUACAUGUGGAAUGAUUACACACUCUAUUACAAUUCGGGCUUUCAGUCCCACUGGCAGAUCACCUUGAUGUAGUGUGCAACAUCAACCCGAACAAAACAAGGUGGCACUUUUGCUGACACUUUACCAAGUAAGACACCACAACAUUCACUGAUGUAGGUUUCAGAUCAGGAUGAGGAGUAAAACCCUUGACCAGAGCUCCAAGCAAAACCAGAGAAAAGUCACUCACAACCUCUUUUGGAAUUGGUGCACCUGCACGUAUCCAUUCUGUCAGCCAAUGUGUUACUGCAUUAACAUUGUGUCUCUCUGACAGCAUUUGCUCCACUGGGACACUUGAACUCUCAUCCCCUGCCAGAACACCCUGAUAUAAGAAAAUAUGGUCAGACAUGCCAUUUGGUCUCUGUAGUUUCCUCACCAUUGAGCCAGUUGCAUCCAAACUCACAGUGGGCUUAGUAGACUUCUUGGAUAUUGUCUUGUACAUAAACAUUUGUGUUUGACUCCAGUAGUGACAGAAGAACUUGUCCAGUCCAAUGUCUUUAAUGCUACCACUGUGAGGUGACAUAAUAUGAUCCUUUUCACCUAAUUCUAAGUCAUUUCUCUAUUGCUUUGCUUUGGGUGGCUAAAUUAGGAAGAUGGCUUGGCUCAGGAUCUCCAAAAUCCAUCAGCUUUGUUGCCUCUGAUGCCCUCCAUACACAGGGUUCCAUUCUACCCUCACACAGUUCUUUGGCUAUCUGCACACGCAAGUUACCAGACAUCACACGCUUGGAACAGCCAGUGUGCAGGGAGUCAUCAGUAUUUUUAAUUAAACACUUGAGCACCUCGGUUCUCGGUCACAUUUUAUGUGAAUGUGGCCAUGACAUUCCUUACAGUUGCCUCUGAUUUCUAUGUAUUUCUCUGUGGCUGAUGGAUAGACCUUGGCUCUUUUAAAGACAAAUGUGCAGGGGCUUUCACGUCUUCCCAAAUGUAAUGAUUUAUCACAUGCGUCAAGAUGUCAGGCUUCAAAAUUGUGUAUUCCCUUUUUUGUGUUUUAGAGCACUUGUUUUUGUAUUGAACUGUUUCAGGCAUAAAUUCAAUCCAUUUCUGAAAUGGAACUUGAAGAUCAAAAGUCCAGCAAACCUUUGGUCUUGGGGAAAGGGACCCUGGCUCAAAAUCAGUGUCAUCACUAGUGCCACUUGUUUCAUUAUCACUUUGAUAAAUAAACCCUAAAGCAGUCCAGAUGUUGUGUCUGUUCAAUUUAACAGAAGUAUAUAGAGCCUUUGCAGUGAUCUUGUUUUCUAGCUGCUCACUAAGCUCUGUCCAGAUGCUCUGAUUAGGAGUAACUAUGUUACCAUUUUGGACUAUGGCCUCUUUUGAUGAUCAGAGGACUGUGAAAAUGGAAUCCCUGUCGAUUGCUGCUUUCUUGGGCAUCUGGCAUAAGCAAAACAUAAUUACUCACUGAAAUAAUCCUUACGCAAAAAAGUAAUGUACAGUACAUACUUGUUUUCAUGUAUUUUUUUUUUCAGUUUCAUUUUUAUUGAACAUUUCUGCUGAAAACUUCUGCUGUACAUUUCUGCUGAACAUUUCUGCUGAACUAACUAAAAACCAUGGAGAUCAGGGCAGAAGAAAAACAUAUGGCCAAGAUGGCAAGGAGAACCAUGGCAUUUAUCACACUUGUCCUCUAUGUCCGGAUACAUCACAGAAAGUCGCGACUUGGACAGAUGGACUCUAUUUAAAACUGUGAACUGUAUAAGUCCAAGACGAGCACAAGAAGUGGUAGACUGUACCCUCCCUAUAGCACUUUCCCAACACUCCUCACUUAUCUGUACUACUAACUCCGUUUCCCACGCAUUCCUAAUUUUGUUACUCGACUCACUACCUAGCACCAGAAUAAAAUCAUAAAUCCUAGAAAUCAUUCCUCUCUGAUGCGGCUUGUUUGAAAACAAGCUUUCCCAACCUGUUCAGGAGGUGCAGAGGGGAAAUAAGGAAAACAUCUAGAAACGAAAUUCCGAAUUUGAAAAUAUCGGAAAAAAAAAUGCGCCACAGGAAGAUCAUAAGUGGAUGCCAGAUUGGCAAAGCUAUCAAACACACCAUCGGCAUACAGAUUUCUAACUUGUUUAAUACCCUUGUUAUACCAUACUGAAAAUGUGGAGUCCAAACACGAUGAAGGAAAUAGAUGGUUGUUGUCUAAAGGACCCAAAGAGGAUGCACCUACAAAUUUAAAGCGCCGUCUAAACUGAUACCAAGUCAUAAGUGUGUUGAGGACAACUAGAUUAUCAGUAUAUUGGGAGAGUUUUGUAGGUAAAGAGGAGUAAAGCAAAGCAGGUAAAGAGGAUUCCCUACACGACAAUAGUUCCAAUUUAGACCAAGAAGAUCCAGGAGAUUUAAGGCUGUAGCAAAGUUUAUGAAUGUGCGCAGCCCAGUAAUAGAAUUGAAAAUUGGGUAAUGCAAGUCCUCCACUAAGUCUACAUUUCUGCAAUUAUUUACUAACCCUUGGUGGCUUCCCUCCCAAAAUAAAUAUACUAAUUAUCUUAUCCAAUGAAUCGAAGAAUGAUUCUGUCAGAGAAAGAGGCACUUGCUGGAACAAGAAAAGAAACUUCAGUAAUAUAUUCAUUUUGACGACAUUGAUCCUGCCAAUUAGAGAAAGGGGUAAGUUACCCCAACUCUGAAUGUUGAUUUAACCAUUGAGAUAAGGGAAGUGAAGUUAGCUGAAGAAAGAUUAGAUAAACAACGUGUCACGUUGAUACCUAGGUAUUUAAAACCUGACUGACUAAAUCGAAACGGCAGAUCUGACUGUUGGGGAGAAAAUGCUGCAGUAUUGAAAGGGAAAACAGUCGCUUUUAUCUAAAUUUAAUUUAUAACCAGAGACGACACCGAAGGACUCCAGAACACUCAAGACAGCUGGCAAUAGGAUCGGUUACAUACAAUAACAAAUCAUCAGCAUAUAGUGACAAUUUGUAUUCUACCCCGUAUCGAACUAUUCCUUUAAACAAGGGAAAAGAUUUUGUUUUCAUGUAUUACUGUAUUUGCCAGAAUACAAGGAAAAUAUAAUAUAGUAAUAAUAUAUAAGGAUAUUAUAUCUUAUAUUAGGACCAAUAGGGGAAUGUUGACCCCUAGAUGCACAAUGUAUUCAAAAAACUAACAUGGAUACCAUGUGCAGCUGUAAAUUGCAUUUCAUAGCUACAUUAGCCAUACUACUAUUAGCAAUGAGAUUUCUGUUCAAUAAACACUGACAAUCUUAGCUCUCUUGAAUGGUGUACCAUUAUGAUUGAAGUUAAAUAAUAAUAUUGUAAUUGACAGUGUUAAAACAUUGAACUUACACUGGCCAGAAUUUUGAUUUAGUAACUAUAUCUACUUUUCCUGUACUAAUUUAAUACUAAUUUCCACAAGAGCAUCUUGAACAGCAAUGUUACUUACACCUAGUGGUGGCAGUGAAGUGUAGCUGAUGAUACUCCUUGUAAAUAAACGAAAAGUUCAAUCAUUGUUUACUGAACAAAUGAUGAUAUGAUCUGUCUUGAAAAAGUCUUGAAAAAGCAAUUCGACCCUGAAAGGGUGCUUACACCAAAGAGAUUUGCGCCUAUAAUUCAAUGUCUAAUAUUUCAUAAACGGAAGCAGCAUAAACGAAACUUUUAGUGGCACAAUCCAGCACAAACGAUUAUGACUAUUUGGGGUGAAUUUGGAGCAUGUGGGGGGGGCUGAGUGACCCCAGAAUGACCUUUUAAUAUCUCCAAAUCCGAAGCAGCACAAACAAAAAAAUUUACGGCAAAAACCAGCACAAACGAUUGAAAUUUUUGAUGAUGUUUUGCAUUGGGUGAGGGGCCAAUUUCACACAGGUGUAUUACAGACAUGUACACACCUUAAUCACACUAUUAACGUCGUGGGGGAGUUUUCACUGCAUUGUGCGACAGGACACAUUCACACAUGGCAGUGCUCAACCGUUUUACGGAAAACAAGAGAGCACAUCCAAAACUGCGUACUUACCUACUAUAUAGUAGGCGAAAUACAGUGAAAUACAGCACAAUACAUUGCCUCUUUAAAAACAUUAACUGCGGUUAUAAUUAUACAUAUCUGGUAGAACUGCAAAGCACUACAUGUGGUCUAUACCGUGAGGGUGCCAUCUUUUUGAUGGCAUGCUCACAACGGAGAAAUGUUGUCCUUUAUGUACAAGUGGAGAUAUUCCUGGUCAAACUGGGGUCAAUUUCAUAUGACCCCACUAACCUGUGAAACAUGGCACAUUUUACUAAUGGUUAAAUGUGAUCAUUUAAUGAUACCGAACAUUCAUCAAUAUAAUGUUAAAAAAAAAAAAAAUUGACAUUUGACAGAGAGAGACAGGUAAGGCGUCAGCUUUACAUCCCGCCCCUCUACCUUUCCCAUUGGCCUGACAAGAUGGUAAGAACCAAUGAACGUGGACUAUCUCGUGCUCUAUGACGUUAGGUUGUGCGCAAACCACACCAGUCUUCUGUGUAAACAAACUAUCUGAAUUUCAAUUAACUUUAUCAACACAACGCCAAAUAUUUGUUUCCCCGCCUAUUUGAUCCACUAUGAACAUAUUUAUUUGUCUAAAAUUAAAAGAGAAAUGAAGGACAUGAACACAAAACAUAACGUUAGGUUAAGAUUGUUACAGAAAAGAACAGGGAAAAUGUUUUCUUACCUGAUAU
Long non-coding RNA from Ictalurus punctatus (channel catfish), 5107 nucleotides. RefSeq lists it as uncharacterized. NCBI's taxonomy places the organism in Eukaryota, Metazoa, Chordata, Actinopteri, Siluriformes, Ictaluridae. The record is from RefSeq and is a predicted model, not a curated record. The transcript has 3 exons.